UGCCCUAACAGUUCCCCGCCCGGGAACAAGGAGCUGGUAUCAGGCGCAACCCUAUUGAGCCCACGACACCUUGCUUAGCCACGCCCUCAAGGGAACUCAGCAGUGAUAGACAUUAAGCCAUAAGUGAAAACUUGACUUAGUUAAAGCUAAGAGGGCCGGUAAAACUCGUGCCAGCCACCGCGGUUAUACGAGAGGCCCAAGUUGACAAACACCGGCGUAAAGCGUGGUUAAGUUAAAAAUCGUACUAAAGCCAAACAUCUUCAAGACUGUUAUACGUAACCGAAGACAGGAAGUUCAACCACGAAAGUCGCUUUAUCUGAUCUGAAUCCACGAAAGCUAAGGAACAAACUGGGAUUAGAUACCCCACUAUGCCUAGCCCUAAACAUUGAUAGUACUAUACACCCACUAUCCGCCCGGGCACUACGAGCAACAGCUUAAAACCCAAAGGACUUGGCGGUGCUUUAGAUCCACCUAGAGGAGCCUGUUCUAGAACCGAUAACCCCCGUUCAACCUCACCCUUCCUUGUUUUACCCGCCUAUAUACCGCCGUCGUCAGCUUACCCUGUGAGGGACUAAUAGUAAGCAGAACUGGUACAACCUAAAACGUCAGGUCGAGGUGUAGCGUAUGGAGGGGGAAGAAAUGGGCUACAUUCGCUACCACAGCGAACACGAAUGAUGCACUGAAACACACAUCUGAAGGAGGAUUUAGCAGUAAGCUG
This 718-nucleotide ribosomal RNA is filed under the name Comephorus baikalensis. Its description in RNAcentral is "Comephorus baicalensis partial 12S ribosomal RNA". It matches the Rfam family "Bacterial small subunit ribosomal RNA", at positions 216 to 1345 of the family's 1533-position model. The record is from RNAcentral. Lineage: Eukaryota; Metazoa; Chordata; Actinopteri; Perciformes; Cottidae.